GCCCCCUUAGUAUCACUAGUACAAAUGACUUCCAAUUAUUUAGCCUUGGCAACCCACCAAGAGGGGACA
This 69-nucleotide transfer RNA is filed under the name Sphaerodactylus elegans. Its description in RNAcentral is "tRNA-Gly". The record is from RNAcentral. Lineage: Eukaryota; Metazoa; Chordata; Lepidosauria; Squamata; Sphaerodactylidae.